Molecule: ribosomal RNA, 376 nt
Filed under: uncultured bacterium
Lineage: Bacteria
Description: bacterial SSU rRNA
Rfam family: Bacterial small subunit ribosomal RNA
Source: RNAcentral
UAAUACGAGGGGGGCGAGCGUUGUCCGGAUUUAUUGGGUGUAAAGGGCCCGUAGGCGGACCGAUCAGUCGGUACUUAAAUCCCCCGGCUUAACCGGGGCACUGGUUUCGAAACUGUCGGUCUUGAGUGCGGUAGAGGGAAGCGGAAUUCCUGGUGUAGCGGUGAAAUGCGUAGAUAUCAGGAGGAACACCGAGGGCGAAGGCAGCUUCCUGGGCCGCCACUGACGCUGAGGGGCGAAAGCGUGGGUAGCAAACAGGAUUAGAUACCCUGGUAGUCCACGCCGUAAACGAUGAGUACUUGGUGGUGAGGGAUUCGACCCCCCACUGUCGGAGCUAACGCGUUAAGUACUCCACCUGGGGACUACGACCGCAAGGUUG